Molecule: non-coding RNA, 46 nt
Organism: Dipodomys ordii (Ord's kangaroo rat)
Lineage: Eukaryota; Metazoa; Chordata; Mammalia; Rodentia; Heteromyidae
Source: Rfam
CCAAAGGCUCUUUUGAGAGCCACUUACUUUGUCAGUACUAGAGCUG